GAGAUGUCCAGUGGCUGCCGUCACUCGGAUCACACUAAAUCCAUCUACACCUGUGAACCGUUUGAUUGAAUCUCUGAUUCAAUUUUACAAACAUUGUGUAAUGAACGUCAUUAGAUCAUAACUAAAAA
Molecule: unclassified non-coding RNA, 128 nt
Filed under: uncultured Trichosporon
Lineage: Eukaryota; Fungi; Basidiomycota; Tremellomycetes
Description: sequence contains ITS1
Source: RNAcentral